RNAcentral lists this unclassified non-coding RNA (260 nucleotides) under Hevea brasiliensis (rubber tree). Lineage: Eukaryota; Viridiplantae; Streptophyta; Magnoliopsida; Malpighiales; Euphorbiaceae. The record is from RNAcentral.
GAUGUCGCGCUCGGCAGCGACCAGGCGGGACGAUAUGUCCUUGUUGUCAACAAGGAAAAUGUCGUCGAGCAGCGCAAGGUUCAGACCGGGCCUCUCGAGGGCGAAUUGCGCGUGAUCGAGAGCGGCCUGAAGGCCGAUGAUCCUGUCGUUAUUGCCGGCCUGCUUCGCGCAAUCCCCGGUCAGAAGGUCNNNNNNNNNNAGCUACAAAAGAUAGAUCAGCCUCGCGCUUCGGCGAACUAGGGACCGAGGACGGCCAUGAU